This 464-nucleotide ribosomal RNA is filed under the name uncultured bacterium. RNAcentral's name for it is "partial 16S ribosomal RNA". It matches the Rfam family "Bacterial small subunit ribosomal RNA", at positions 338 to 795 of the family's 1533-position model. The record is from RNAcentral.
CCUACGGGAGGCAGCAGUAGGGAAUUUUCGGCAAUGGGGGGAACCCUGACCGAGCAACGCCGCGUGAAGGAAGAAGGAAUUCGUUCUGUAAACUUCUGUUAUAAAGGAAGAAAGACGGAUGGCGGAAAUGACAUCCGAGUGACGGUACUUUAUGAGAACGCCACGGCUAACUACGUGCAAGCAGCCGCGGUAAUACGUAGGUGGCAAGCGUUAUCCGGAAUUAUUGGGCGUAAAGAGGGAGCAGGCGGCAGCAAAGGUCUGUGGUGAAAGAGUGAAGCUUAACUUCAGUAAGACAUAGAAACCGGGCAGCUAGAGUGCAGGAGAGGAUCGUGGAAUUCGAUGUGUAGCGGUGAAAUGCGUAGAUAUAUGGAGGAACACCAGUGGCGAAGGCGACGAUCUGGCCUGCAACUGACGCUGAGUCCCGAAAGCGUGGGGAGCAAAUAGGAUUAGAUACCCCAGUAGUC